This is a long non-coding RNA of Neofelis nebulosa (Clouded leopard), 1496 nucleotides long. RefSeq lists it as uncharacterized. The transcript has 3 exons. NCBI's taxonomy places the organism in Eukaryota, Metazoa, Chordata, Mammalia, Carnivora, Felidae. The record is from RefSeq and is a predicted model, not a curated record.
AAGCGUCAAAAAAACGAGGCUCUUUGUUUGAAUUGGGGACCUGGAGAGUCACAGCUACCGCGACACUACAAGCAGAUAAACACUGGGCACUACCUAAAUGGCGGGAUUUAUUUAUUUUUGAGAGCGCGCAAGCAGGGAAAGGGCAGAGAGAGGUAGACAGAAGAUCUGAAGCGGGCUCUGUGCUGACAGCAGCAAGUACAAUGUGGGGUUUGAACUCACGAAAUCAUGUCCUGAGCGGAAACCAAGAGUCGUCGCUCAACCGACUGAGCCACCCAGGUGACUCUGAAAGUCAUUCUUAAAAGCCCCAGAAAACUUGUUCAGAUCAUGCCAAUGUACUCAAGGCCCCAGGCUCCACACCCAGUGCAGAGCCCAAUGCAGGGCUUGGACUCAUGAUCCUGAAAUCAAGACCUGACCUAAGAUCAAGAGUCAGACACUUACCCAACUGAGCCACCCAGGCAUCCCUUGAAAACACUAAUUUGAAAAGAUAUAUGCACCCCUAUGUUUACUGCAACAUUAUUUACAAUAGCCAAAUUAUGGAAGAAACCCAAGUUGCUUAUAAUUAAUAAAUUAUAUAAUAUAUUAUAUAAUUCUGCUUAUUAAUUAAAAUUGAAAUAUAUAAUGGAGUGUUAUUCAGCUGUAAAAAAGAAUGAAGUCUUGCCAUUUGCAACAGCAUGAAUGGAUCUAGAGGGUAUAAUGCUAAGUGAAAUAAGUCAGACAAAGAUAAAUGCCAUAUGAGUAUACUCACAUAUGGAAUUUAAGAAACAAAGCAAACAAAGAAAAAAAAAGAUGAGCCAGAAAACAGACUCUUAACUAUAGAGCACAGAGGGUUACCAGAGGGGAGGUGGGUGGGGGAAAGAAUUAAAUAGGUGAUGAUUAAGGAGUGCAUAUGUUGUGGUGAGCACAGUGUUAUAUGCAAGUGUUGAAUCACUAUAUUGUAUGCUUGAAACUAAGAUAAUACUGUAUGUUAGCUAACUGGAAUGUAAAAACACCCAGUCAAAUUGAGUUCAGUCUUUUGAAUCCUUAAAGAACUAGGUGUGUUCCCGAGAUCAGAUUGUUGAGCAAACAAUUGUUGAGCAAACUUUAGGGCCAGUUUGUCUGUCUAGUUUAGGCACUCUUCUCUCAUGCCCUGAUCUCUCACCCUUUCCUCGUAUGUUGGUUGUAAACAUACAUGAUACAAGUAAAAUAUGUAUGUAAGCUUACAUAAACAAGUCCUUAUGUCAUUUGUGUCUCCAGCUAACCCUGAGACCAGGACAUCUGGAUUUGGAGAGCAACUGAGCAAGCAAAUUGUAAGAUUGGGUGGAUGUGGUCAUUGUGUGAUGUGGAAUUUCAGCAGUUCUAAAUGGUUGAAGUAGAGUGGAGAAGAACAGUCAUGAUUCACCUGCUGUUGAUAAAUGUUUAAAACUAACAUUUUUUAAAGUUGAGUUUAUUGAGGUAUAAUUUACAUAGAGUAAAAUUUAUCCUUUUUGUGUAUACACUUCUGAGUUCUUUUUUUUAAG